UCUGGUGUCAGUCUUUACUGUCCGGGUCUCUCUGUGGUUGUGUCAGCCUUUACUGUCCGGGUCUCUCUGUGGUUGUGUCAGUCUUUACUGUCCGGGUCUCUCUCUGGUGUCAGUCUUUACUGUCCGGGUCUCUCUGUGGUUGUGUCAGUCUUUACUGUCCAGGUCUCUCUGUGGUUGUAGCAGUCUUUACUGUCCGGGUCUCUGUGGUUGUGUCAGUCUUUACUGUCCAGGUCUCUCUGUGGUUGUAGCAGUCUUUACUGUCCGGGUCUCUCUGUGGUUGUAUCAGUCUUUACUGUGGUCUCUCUCUGGUGUCAGUCUUUACUGUCCGGGUCUCUCUGUGGUUGUAUCAGUCUUUACUGUCCGGGUCUCUCUGUGGUUGUAUCAGUCUUUACUGUUCGGUCUCUCUCUGGUGUCAGCCUUUACUGUCCGGGUCUCUCUGUGGUGUCAGCCUUUACUGUCCAGGUCUCUCUCUGGUUGUAUCAGUCUUUACUGUCCGGGUCUCUCUCUGGUGUCAGUCUUUACUGUCCGGGUCUCUCUCUGGUGUCAGUCUUUACUGUCCGGGUCUCUCUGUGGUUGUGUCAGCCUUUACUGUCCGGGUCUCUCUGUGGUUGUGUCAGUCUUUACUGUCCGGGUCUCUCUCUGGUGUCAGUCUUUACUGUCCGGGUCUCUCUGUGGUUGUGUCAGUCUUUACUGUCCAGGUCUCUCUGUGGUUGUAGCAGUCUUUACUGUCCGGGUCUCUCUGUGGUUGUGUCAGUCUUUACUGUCCAGGUCUCUCUGUGGUUGUAGCAGUCUUUACUGUCCGGGUCUCUCUGUGGUUGUGUCAGUCUUUACUGUCCAGGUCUCUCUGUGGUUGUAGCAGUCUUUACUGUCCGGGUCUCUCUGUGGUUGUGUCAGUCUUUACUGUCCAGGUCUCUGUGGUUGUAGCAGUCUUUACUGUUCGGGUUUCUCUGU
Oncorhynchus keta (chum salmon) is the source of this 951-nucleotide long non-coding RNA. RefSeq lists it as uncharacterized. Lineage: Eukaryota; Metazoa; Chordata; Actinopteri; Salmoniformes; Salmonidae. The transcript is spliced from 3 exons. The record is from RefSeq and is a predicted model, not a curated record.